This 608-nucleotide ribosomal RNA is filed under the name uncultured bacterium. RNAcentral describes it as "bacterial SSU rRNA". It matches the Rfam family "Bacterial small subunit ribosomal RNA", at positions 53 to 670 of the family's 1533-position model. The record is from RNAcentral.
ACGGAGCGCCGGACACGGACUAUUUCGGUAGGAAGCGUGCGGAGGCUUAGUGGCGGACGGGUGAGUAACGCGUGGAUAACCUGCCGCAUACCGGGGGAUAACAGCUGGAAACAGCUGCUAAUACCGCAUAUGCCCGCAGUGCCGCAUGGCACAGCGGGGAAAACUCCGGUGGUAUGCGAUGGGUCCGCGUCUGAUUAGGCAGUUGGCGGGGUAACGGCCCACCAAACCGACGAUCAGUAGCCGGCCUGAGAGGGCGGACGGCCACACUGGGACUGAGACACGGCCCAGACUCCUGCGGGAGGCAGCAGUGGGGAAUAUUGCACAAUGGGGGAAACCCUGAUGCAGCGACGCCGCGUGAAGGAAGAAGUAUCUCGGUAUGUAAACUUCUAUCAGCAGGGAAGAAAACAGACGGUACCUGACUAAGAAGCCCCGGCUAACUACGUGCCAGCAGCCGCGGUAAUACGUAGGGGGCAAGCGUUAUCCGGAUUUACUGGGUGUAAAGGGGGUGCAGACGGCCAUGGCAAGCCCGGUGUGAAAGGCAGGGGCAUAACCCCUGGACUGCACUGGGAACUGUCAGGCUGGAGUGCCGGAGGGGUAACCGGAAUUCC